UUGGAGGGCAAGUCUGGUGCCAGCAGCCGCGGUAAUUCCAGCUCCAAUAGCGUAUAUUAAAGUUGUUGCAGUUAAAAAGCUCGUAGUUGAAUUUCGGGGUCAGCAAGUUGGUCGUGCCACUGGUAUGCACUGGCUUUGCUGAUUCCUCCUUCUUGUAGAACCGUAAUGCCAUUAAGUUGGUGUUGCGGGGAAACAGGACUGUUACUUUGAAAAAAUUAGAGUGUUUAAAGCAGGCUAACGCUUGAAUACAUUAGCAUGGAAUAAUGAAAUAGGACGACGAUCCUAUUUUGUUGGUUUCUAGGAUUGACGUAAUGAUUAAUAGGGAUAGUUGGGGGCAUUAGUAUUCAAUUGUCAGAGGUGAAAUUCUUGGAUUUAUUGAAGACUAACUACUGCGAAAGCAUUUGCCAAGGAUGUUUUCAUUAAUCAAGAACGAAAGUUAGGGGAUCGAAGACGAUCAGAUACCGUCGUAGUCUUAACCAUAAACUAUGCCGACUAGGGAUCGGAUGAUGUUAAUUUUAUAAUGACUCAUUCGGCGCCUUACGGGAAAC
RNAcentral lists this ribosomal RNA (548 nucleotides) under uncultured Glomeromycotina. RNAcentral's name for it is "SSU rRNA". It matches the Rfam family "Eukaryotic small subunit ribosomal RNA", at positions 548 to 1098 of the family's 1831-position model. Lineage: Eukaryota; Fungi; Glomeromycota. The record is from RNAcentral.